This 2139-nucleotide ribosomal RNA is filed under the name Bulaea anceps. Its description in RNAcentral is "partial 28S ribosomal RNA". It matches the Rfam family "Eukaryotic large subunit ribosomal RNA", at positions 63 to 1901 of the family's 3401-position model. The record is from RNAcentral. Lineage: Eukaryota; Metazoa; Arthropoda; Insecta; Coleoptera; Coccinellidae.
AACUAACUAGGAUUCCCCCAGUAGCGGCGAGCGAACAGGGAUUAGCCCAGCACUGAAUCCCGCGACCGUGACCGGUCGCCGGGAGAUGUGGUGUUUAGAAGGAUCGACCAUCCGGCGGGUUCGCGGUGCGUUCAAGUCCAUCUUGAAUGGGGCCAUCGCCCAUAGAGGGUGCCAGGCCCGUAGCGACCGCUGCGACCUGCCGGAAGAUCUCUUCUUAGAGUCGGGUUGCUUGAGAGUGCAGCCCUAAGUGGGUGGUAAACUCCAUCUAAGGCUAAAUAUAACCACGAGACCGAUAGCGAACAAGUACCGUGAGGGAAAGUUGAAAAGAACUUUGAAGAGAGAGUUCAAGAGUACGUGAAACCGUUCAGGGGUAAACCUGAGAAACCCGAAAGGUCGAAUGGGGAGAUUCAUUCGCGCACUGAUGUUGGCAUGUGACGACUGCGGAAGCGGCUACGUUCGCGUGAGCCGCUCCCUUCGGUGCAUCAGCCGACGUCGGGCGCGUGCACUUCUCCCCUAGUAGGUCGUCGCGAUCCGUUGGGUGCUGUUCCACGGUCCGCAGUGUAGACCGCGAGCUCGGAUUUUCCGAAGUUUGCGGACACGCGUCAACCGAACAGCUCGCUCGACGGUUCACUGAUGGCGGGGGGCCGCGACUCAGUUCGCGUCCGGCCCGCGGCAAGUAUGCGAAUCGCAGAUGGCGAUCGGACCUGGUGCCGAUCCCGUCCGUUCGCGACUGUUCGCCGCGGUGUUCUCGGACAGACCUCCUGAAACGCCGAUCAGCGACGCUAUUGCUUUGGGUACUUUCAGGACCCGUCUUGAAACACGGACCAAGGAGUCUAGCGUGUGCGCGAGUCAUUGGGAAUCACUAAACCUAAAGGCGAAAUGAAAGUAAACGUCCGCUUCUUGCGGACCGAGGGAAGAUGGUCGGUCCUCGGACCGUCCCGCAUUCCCGGGGCGUCUCGUUCUCAUUGCGAGAUGAGGCGCACCAAGAGCGUACACGCUGGGACCCGAAAGAUGGUGAACUAUGCCUGGUCAGGACGAAGUCAGGGGAAACCCUGAUGGAGGUCCGUAGCGAUUCUGACGUGCAAAUCGAUCGUCGGAACUGGGUAUAGGGNNNNNNNNNNNNNNNNNNNNNNNNNNNNNNNNNNNNNNNNNNNNNNNNNNNNNNNNNNNNNNNNNNNNNNNNNNNNNNNNNNNNNNNNNNNNNNNNNNNNAUGUGAAGCCGCGAGAUUUCGGAUCAGAGUGCCAAGUGGGCCAUUUUUGGUAAGCAGAACUGGCGCUGUGGGAUGAACCAAACGCCGAGUUAAAGCGCCUAAAUCGACGCUUAUGGGAUACCAUGAAAGGCGUUGGUAACUUAAGACAGCAGGACGGUGGCCAUGGAAGUCGGAAUCCGCUAAGGAGUGUGUAACAACUCACCUGCCGAAGUUACUAGCCCUGAAAAUGGAUGGCGCUGAAGCGUCGUGCUUAUACUCGGCCGUCAGAGGCAUGUGCGGUCGCCCCCGAGGGGCGGCCAUGAAGCCCUGAUGAGUAGGAGGGUCGCGAAGGUGAGCGCAGAAGGGCUGGCCGUGAGGCCGUCUGGAGCCGCCUUCGGUGCAGAUCUUGGUGGUAGUAGCAAAUACUCCAGCGAGGCCCUGGAGAGCUGAGGUGGAGAAGGGUUUCGUGUGAACAGCCGUUGCACACGAGUCAGUCGAUCCUAAGCCCUAGGCGAAAGCCGAUGUUGAUGUGGCGUUGUUAACAGCGUGAUAGGUAAUGUAGCAUGCGAAUGCUAGGAUGCCUUGCGCUAGACGCACGCCCGUCGGGCGAAAGGGAAUCCGGUUCCUAUUCCGGAACCCGGCAGCGGAACCGUCCUUAAAUCGGGCCCUCGCAAGAGAGUUCGUCGGGGCAACCCAAAAGGACCCGGAGACGCCGUCGAGAGAUCCGGGAAGAGUUUUCUUUUCUGCAUAAGCGUUCGAGUUCCAUGGAAUCCUCUAGCAGGGAGAUAUGGUUUGGAACGCGAAGAGCACCGCAUUUGCGGCGGUGUCCGGAUCUUCUCCUCGGACCUUGAAAAUCCGGGAGAGGGCCACGUGUAGGCGUCGCGCCGGCUCGUACCCAUAUCCGCAGCUGGUCUCCAAGGUAAAGAGCCUCUAGUCGAUAGAAUAUGAG